CUUAUCAAGAGUGGUGGAGGGAACGGCCUGAUGAAACCCGGCAACCUAUCGAUCUAUCGAUGCGAUGUGGUGCUAAAUCCGGCGGCAACGGAAGAUGAG
This 99-nucleotide non-coding RNA is filed under the name uncultured Faecousia sp. RNAcentral's name for it is "SAM riboswitch (S box leader)". It matches the Rfam family "SAM riboswitch aptamer (S box leader)". From Rfam's summary of the family: The SAM riboswitch is found upstream of a number of genes which code for proteins involved in methionine or cysteine biosynthesis in Gram-positive bacteria. The SAM riboswitch acts at the level of transcription termination control. Lineage: Bacteria; Bacillati; Bacillota; Clostridia; Eubacteriales; Oscillospiraceae. The record is from RNAcentral.